This 477-nucleotide ribosomal RNA is filed under the name Streptococcus sp. oral taxon F97. Its description in RNAcentral is "bacterial SSU rRNA". It matches the Rfam family "Bacterial small subunit ribosomal RNA", at positions 28 to 495 of the family's 1533-position model. The record is from RNAcentral. Lineage: Bacteria; Bacillati; Bacillota; Bacilli; Lactobacillales; Streptococcaceae.
GACGAACGCUGGCGGCGUGCCUAAUACAUGCAAGUAGAACGCUGAAGAGAGGAGCUUCUCUUCUUGGAUGAGUUGCGAACGGGUGAGUAACGCGUAGGUAACCUGCCUGGUAGCGGGGGAUAACUAUUGGAAACGAUAGCUAAUACCGCAUGAAAUGGAUUAUCGCAUGAUAAUCGAUUGAAAGGUGCAAAUGCAUCACUACCAGAUGGACCUGCGUUGUAUUAGCUAGUUGGUGGGGUAACGGCUCACCAAGGCGACGAUACAUAGCCGACCUGAGAGGGUGAUCGGCCACACUGGGACUGAGACACGGCCCAGACUCCUACGGGAGGCAGCAGUAGGGAAUCUUCGGCAAUGGACGGAAGUCUGACCGAGCAACGCCGCGUGAGUGAAGAAGGUUUUCGGAUCGUAAAGCUCUGUUGUAAGAGAAGAACGAAGCUUGAAAAUAUUGAAGUUUGGGUGAACGGUACCCAAGCGAGG